Molecule: ribosomal RNA, 372 nt
Filed under: uncultured organism
Description: partial 16S ribosomal RNA
Rfam family: Bacterial small subunit ribosomal RNA
Source: RNAcentral
AGAGGGUGCAAGCGUUAAUCGGGAAUCAUUGGGCGUAAAGCGCACGUAGGUGGUUAUGUAAGUUGGCUGUGAAAGCCCCGGGGCUUAACCUGGGGAAAGCCAGUCAAAACUGCAUGACUAGAGUUUAUCAGAGGAUAGUGGAAUUUCCGGUGUAGCGGUGAAAUGCGUAGAGAUCGGAAGGAACAUCAGUGGCGAAGGCGGCUAUCUGGGAUAAAACUGACACUGAGGUGCGAAAGCGUGGGUAGCAAACAGGAUUAGAUACCCUGGUAGUCCACGCUGUAAACGAUGACAACUAGCCGCUUGUGACGCAAGUCGUGAGUGGCGCAGCUAACGCGUUAAGUUGUCCGCCUGGGGAGUACGGCCGCAAGGCUA